RNAcentral lists this ribosomal RNA (508 nucleotides) under Globobulimina sp. RNAcentral's name for it is "SSU rRNA". It matches the Rfam family "Eukaryotic small subunit ribosomal RNA", at positions 1182 to 1472 of the family's 1831-position model. The record is from RNAcentral. Lineage: Eukaryota; Foraminifera; Rotaliida; Buliminidae.
CAUGUGGCUUAAUUUGACUCAACGCGGGAAAUCUUACCGGGUCCGGACACACUGAGGAUUGACAGGCACUAUACGGCACCACACUCACUCUGUGCGCGUGGUACCGUAGCUAAAUAUGCUAGUCCUUUCAUGAUUAUGUGAUAGGUGGUGCAUGGCCGUUCUUAGUUCGUGGAGUGAUCUGUCUGCUUAAUUGCGUUUCGCUAAAGGAUCUUACAGGGCACAGCUUCUGGUGUGCUAUAGCUAUGCUACGCCUCACCGGUCUUACAGCUCAGCGGUCAGUGCGUCUUAGGCUAAGCCUCGGAUGCUUCUUAAGCUCAGCUAGACCAUACGUGGAGCUAUAUGGCUCACUCGCUAGGGGCACUAUAUGUGAACUUCUGAUCCUGAAAGCAACGAACGUGACCGCAACCUCUUGUUGUGUUAGCUCUAUAGCACAGCACAAACUAGAGGGACCGCUGUUACUUUUCUUAAACCAGAGGAAGGUUGCGGCAAUAACAGGUCUGUGAUGCCC